RNAcentral lists this long non-coding RNA (224 nucleotides) under Physcomitrium patens. RNAcentral describes it as "long non-coding RNA (PPAT_LNC005971)". Lineage: Eukaryota; Viridiplantae; Streptophyta; Bryopsida; Funariales; Funariaceae. The record is from RNAcentral.
GGAGGAGGUUUUUUUCUUUCGGGGAAUCGGGGGGGAGCUAGUUUUUUAAGCUUUUGCAAGGUUAUCAGUUCGGUUUCAUUGGAGGUUUUUGAAGAUCAAGGGAAUUAGAGAGAGGAGCUUCAUGCUUCGGGUCGGGGAAAGAAAGACAUAGAAUUUGGAUUUUUCUUCGUAGAGUUUUGGGAAGACUGAGGCAAUCGCUGCUGAAGUCAGUGUUGUAAUAGUGA